This is a non-coding RNA of Python bivittatus (Burmese python), 643 nucleotides long. NCBI's taxonomy places the organism in Eukaryota, Metazoa, Chordata, Lepidosauria, Squamata, Pythonidae. The record is from RefSeq and is a predicted model, not a curated record.
UGUGAGUAGAGGCCCCAGGAGGCCGGGCACGGCCGGGGGCUCGGAGGCAGUGCUGAGGUCAGGGGCAGGGGGAGCCGCGGGAAGGCGGAGGGGGCCAAGGGAGCGAAAACGCCUUUCUGGGAUUAGCAGCCCUGGCGCUUCCACCCCCAUCAGCCUGGACCACAAAGCCCCUUCCCGCUUUGGGGCUGCGUGUCCGGAGAAGGAGCUUAGUUGCUGGCGAGAUCCAUCAGAGGUUACUGUGCCUGAGCGGGGGACAAAGCAGUAGAGAAGCAGGUGCGCAGAUGGCUGAGGAACACGAGCAAGUGGAGGCUCUCCUUGUCCUGCCGCUAACAAGCUUUCCAGGCAGCUUAGGAAUAAAAAUCAGCAUGCUUCUGAGGAUAAACCGUAUUUCAGGGUGACUCCGGCGGCCCUCUCAGUUGCCCAGCUGCUGAUGGCCGGUGGUACGUCCAAGGGAUCGCCAGCUUUGUCUCCGGAUGGGGCUGCGACACCUUGCAGAAGCCCACCGUCUUCACCCGUGUCUCUGCCUUCAUCCCCUGGAUCGAGCAGAUCAUUUCCAGCAAUUCACCUUAAGCAGAAACUCGCGGCGUUCCAAGAUCGGGCUUUGCUCGUGUAAAAAACAAUAAACGUCUUCCUGGCUGCAGCC